RNAcentral lists this ribosomal RNA (168 nucleotides) under uncultured Allobrachymonas sp. Its description in RNAcentral is "uncultured Brachymonas sp. partial 16S ribosomal RNA". It matches the Rfam family "Bacterial small subunit ribosomal RNA", at positions 1215 to 1382 of the family's 1533-position model. Lineage: Bacteria; Pseudomonadati; Pseudomonadota; Betaproteobacteria; Burkholderiales; Comamonadaceae. The record is from RNAcentral.
UACACACGUCAUACAAUGGCCGGUACAGAGGGUAGCCAACCCGCGAGGGGGAGCCAAUCCCACAAAGCCGGUCGUAGUCCGGAUCGCAGUCUGCAACUCGACUGCGUGAAGUCGGAAUCGCUAGUAAUCGCGGAUCAGCAUGUCGCGGUGAAUACGUUCCCGGGUCUU